GUGUUGCAUAGUUAAGAUUAAAGUAGGUCAUGAACUUGAGCAUAAGAAUUUUAAAUAUUUGAAACAUUCAGGAACCAGGAGUCAGUGUAAAGGGUGAUGGAUGAUUCAGGCUACGUGUGGACAUGAUAGGGGCACAGGUAAACUAAAAGCUAUAGAGAAUCGAACAUAAAAUGAGCAUUGGAGCAGUCAUACUCAGAGGUGAUCAAGGCACUGGGGAGAUUCCAGCAACUGAUGAUAUGAAGGUAUUGCUGAUUUACUCUGUGAAACGAAGAGUGGUGCAUCAUCCCCUAUUUUCUACCCUGAGAGUUCUAAUAUCUGGAAUAACUAGAUCUGGUUAACAGAGAUAAGCAAGCACAGACAAGGCAUCAAAAAUACAGCUGUAUAAAGUAUCUGCAGUUCAAGUACAUAAAGCCUGAAAUUACUCCACAGGAUCCUAAUUGACGCGUAAUUAAUACAAUUCUCAGAAAUUGCUCUCUUCAACAUGUCGGCAAAGGACCCUGCCAGACAUUGAGUAAUUAAAGCACUGCAGGUCUACCCUGUCAGUGCAAUGUUUGUUGCUGAAGAAACUGAAGGAGUGGGACUUGGUGCGGAUCGUGCUGCUACCUGCGUCAGGGAGGUGUCACAGAAGUUGUUGCACGAAGGAGUCCCAAUGACUCCCCCCGAGAUUCUACCACUAAUCUACACACCAGUGACAACUUAACAGUUGCUGUUUAACCUACUGACUUGAAUGUUUCUGGGAUGCAGGAAGAAACUGGACCACUCAGGAGAAACCUGUUCAGUCAUUGGUGAUCAUGUACACUUGACAUGGACCAUACUCAGGUCUACGGUCGUCUGAAGCAGCAGCAGCUCCACUAGCUGUCCACAUGGUGUUGGACUCUGCUGUCAUUUAUUAUUGAGAUCAGAUACCUGAACCUGACAAGGUUCACCUCAUGCCUGUUGUGAAAGUAUUUUGAAAACUGAAAUGAAAAUGAAUGACUCACAUUUUUCUUAGAAUUUGUCUGAAAAGUGAAUGGUCUUUUAUUUUUACAGAAGAUUAUUUCAUUUUAGCAGGUUAAUUUAUCUAAAAUAAAGAUGUAAAGUAAUUAUACACAAAAUUAGUUUCCAUUGCUGAUGAUUCACAUUUGACAAAGGAGAGGUGGGAUGAAAGAUGCUUGAGUUAUUAUGUAUUUCACCUAAUAACAGCUUGAUAAACAAGUGGAAAUUUAAAAUCAUAAGUGCAAUGCAAAUAAAUGGAAUUAUAUAUCAACCAUAACAAGGACAGGAAGCUUCUUAAAGUGUUGGCUCAUAGAGAUUCAAUGGGCAUGGAGUUUUCUUUGUACAUAAGCACAUAUGAUACUUGCAUUAAGUUUCAGUGUACUGGUGAAUCAGACACAGGUGUAUAAUGGGUUAAUUGGUAAAAUGGUAAUUAUAUUGAACUUUGAACAUCUGCACUUUGUUUUUGAGGAAACAAAUAUUAAUGCUUGCUCAUUUUUGAUAAUAUGACGAUGAUAUUACGGGGUACCCUUUGAGUAUGAUAUUUUGAUCUCUGGUGAACAACAAUUAACAUCUGAAAUUACAUAUUGCAAAAGUCGGAUUUUACAUCAGGUCAGAGAAAGGUUUGCCAGGCUGAUUUUUAAGAACAUUUUCCUCAAAUAUUAUAGUGCUGAAGUAUUCCCACCAAAAUUAUUGUUCAAUCUCUUCACUAGCCAUCUUUUGAAAGGGGAAAAAUCUAUAUUCAUGUUCUAGUCAGGUCCACAGAUACCCUCCACUAUGGAUACACAUUGACUCUGAGUUAAUCUCCAACAGAAAGAAACAAAGGGAUGAAUUUUAAAUUCCAAUUGGGUGAUGGGAGAAGGUGGGGACGAAGAGGGGAUGGAACUUGUGCUGGUGAUUUUGGAAACCUGGAGCUAAGUACAUUUCAUCUGUGGUAUUGGAAUCCAGUUACUGCAUUUCCUAUAAGGAAUUGGCAGAAGUCAUUAAUUGGAAAACAAAAUAAAAAUAGAUUUUGGAAGUCCAAGAUGAAAGCAGAAAAUGACGGAAAACUCACCAGGCCAGACUACAUCUGUGGAAAGAAAACAAAACGGUUUAUUUUUCAGGUCAAAGCACUUCAUCAGAUAUUAGUAAUGAGGCAUGAAAUUUUGAAUUGAUUUCUUUAAAUUAUAUUGUAGUGUUGUGGUUCAGAGGACUAGAUAACAAGCAGAUUUUUUGUGUAGCUAAAUCUAUAAAUAGAUUGA
Long non-coding RNA from Hypanus sabinus (Atlantic stingray), 2213 nucleotides. RefSeq lists it as uncharacterized. The record is from RefSeq and is a predicted model, not a curated record. NCBI's taxonomy places the organism in Eukaryota, Metazoa, Chordata, Chondrichthyes, Myliobatiformes, Dasyatidae. The transcript is spliced from 5 exons.